This 247-nucleotide ribosomal RNA is filed under the name uncultured bacterium. RNAcentral describes it as "partial 16S ribosomal RNA". It matches the Rfam family "Bacterial small subunit ribosomal RNA", at positions 523 to 769 of the family's 1533-position model. The record is from RNAcentral.
AUACGUAGGGUGCAAGCGUUAUCCGGAAUUAUUGGGCGUAAAGCGAGUGCAGGCGGUCUUUUAAGUCUGAUGUGAAAGCCUUCGGCUUAACCGAAGAAGGGCAUCGGAAACUGGGAGACUUGAGUGCAGAAGAGGAGAGUGGAACUCCAUGUGUAGCGGUGAAAUGCGUAGAUAUAUGGAAGAACACCAGUGGCGAAGGCGGCUGUCUGGUCUGUAACUGACGCUGAGGCUCGAAAGUAUGGGUAGC